GACGAACCGUGCGAACGUUACUCGGAAUUACUGGGCGUAAAGCGUGCGUAGGUGGUGAGUUAAGUCUGUCGUGAAAGCCCCGGGCUCAACCUGGGAAUGGCAAUGGAUACUGGCAAGCUAGAGUGCGGUAGAGGGUAGUGGAAUUCCCGGUGUAGCGGUGAAAUGCGUAGAGAUCGGGAGGAACACCAGUGGCGAAGGCGGCUACCUGGACCAGCACUGACACUGAGGCACGAAAGCGUGGGGAGCAAACAGG
Molecule: ribosomal RNA, 253 nt
Filed under: uncultured bacterium
Lineage: Bacteria
Description: partial 16S ribosomal RNA
Rfam family: Bacterial small subunit ribosomal RNA
Source: RNAcentral